UUUUCCGGUUGAUCCUGCCGGACCCUACUGCUAUCGGGGUGGGACUAAGACAUGCGAGUUGUGCGUCUCUAAGCCAUGGUAGAGACGCGGCGUACGGCUCAGUAGCACGUGGCUAACCUACCCUUGGGACGAGGACAACCCCGGGAAACUGGGGCUAAUACUCGAUAGGUGAGGAGGCCUGGAAUGGUUCCUCGUCGAAAAGGCGUUGAAACCAUGCUUUUCGGCGUCGCCCAAGGAUGGGGCCGCGCCCGAUCAGGUUGUUGGUGAGGCAACGGCUUACCAAGCCUAUAACCGGUACGGGCCGUGAGAGCGGGAGCCCGGAGAUGGGCACUGAGACAAGGGCCCAGGCCCUACGGGGCGCAGCAGUCGCGAAAACUCCGCAAUGCGCGAAAGCGUGACGGGGCUACCCCGAGUGCCGUCCGCUGAGGAUGGCUUUUUCCCGGUGUAAUGAGCCGGGAGAAUAAGGAGAGGGCAAGUCUGGUGUCAGCCGCCGCGGUAAUACCAGCUCUCCGAGUGGUAGGGAUGAUUAUUGGGCUUAAAGCGUCCGUAGCCGGCUUAGCAAGUCUCCUGUUAAAUUCAGCGACUUAAUCGUUGAGCCGCGGGAGACACUACUAGGCUAGGAGGCGGGAGAGGCCGACGGUAUUCUCGGGGUAGGGGUGAAAUCCUAUAAUCCCGGGAGGACCACCAGUGGCGAAGGCUGUCGGCUAGAACGCGCUCGACGGUGAGGGACGAAAGCUGGGGGAGCGAACCGGAUUAGAUACCCGGGUAGUCCCAGCUGUAAACGAUGCGGGCUAGGUGUUGGGGUGGCUACGAGCCACUUCAGUGCCGCAGGGAAGCCAUUAAGCCCGCCGCCUGGGGAGUACGGCCGCAAGGCUGAAACUUAAAGGAAUUGGCGGGGGAGCACCACAAGGCGUGAAGCUUGCGGUUCAAUUGGAGUCAACGCCGGGAAUCACUAGU
Molecule: ribosomal RNA, 957 nt
Filed under: uncultured archaeon
Lineage: Archaea
Description: bacterial SSU rRNA
Rfam family: Archaeal small subunit ribosomal RNA
Source: RNAcentral